RNAcentral lists this ribosomal RNA (1389 nucleotides) under Triticum aestivum (bread wheat). RNAcentral describes it as "partial small subunit ribosomal RNA". Lineage: Eukaryota; Viridiplantae; Streptophyta; Magnoliopsida; Poales; Poaceae. The record is from RNAcentral.
AUGAUUCCCUACGUGUGCAACCCAGCCACGUCGCGGUAUGCCCGCCUGCCAUGUCCGCCAACGCGCUGGCCAUGCAGCGUCGAGGGCAUGUUCCUCGCCUUUGACCCGGCCGUGUCGCGGCACCACGAGGUGUUCUUCUUUCCCACAGAAAAGCUAGAUCGGAACAACGAGGAAGAUGAGCGGCCACGCGCCAAAUGUCGACCGUGCCCGUGCUGGAUCGAUUGGGAGGACACGUGGCUGCUGAACUUGUUUGGAGAAGAUGAACCAUUCUCUGAAUCAAAGGAAGAGCCAGCCGGUUCUGCGAGCCAGCCCAACCCAAAGAUGCCCAAGGAGAAUGUAUUCCACGUGUUGGUGUUCUCUUCACGGACAGGCCAGUGGGAGAGCCGGAAGUUCAUGCCAGGGCGCUGCGCCUCAGGAAACCUCUACGAUGUGGUGACCACACCGCGCUGUAAGGACCAGCGCACGUGGUGGUCUGCCGAGUACUGGCAUGGCUCACUCUACGUGCACUGCCAUAGUGGUGUCCUCAUGAUCCUGCGUUGCUCGGAGGGGACAUACCAGAUGGUUCAGCUUCCAGGGCAUCCUUGUGACCACGAGAGAUUGUAUCAAUGGGCACUGCCAACAAGGUACUUAGGGAGCUGCAAUAGAGGGAUCCGCUAUGCCGUGGUCAAAGAUUUGUUGCUUGAAGUAUGGGAUCUAAUGGAGUUAGCCGAUGAUCAGCUGGGAUGGACAUUGGCUCACCGUGCCGACCUCAAAGCGCAUGACCGUAUGAUGAAAUAUCUGAACAGUCAACCAAGGAUGGAACCAAGGAUGACAUGGGAAGUGGCUGAGAGCAACAAAGACUUAAUCAGCCUAUUCGAACAUGGCAACAAUGAGAAAAUCAAUGAUGAUUGCGAUGAUGGGACCGGAGACUACGAGGAUGGUGAAGAGGAAGAGGACGAAGAUAACUAUGACGAGGCACAAGAUGAAGAGGUUGAACGAGAAGAUAAUGAUGAUGACACACAAGGUGAAAAGCAGGAAGAACAAGAUAGCUAUGUUGAUGAUGAUGAUGAUGACAAUCAUGAUGAUGAGGCACAAAACGGUUCCGACUACUCAUGGAACUCGAACGAGCACAACUUCAUUGACUAUGAUAACAUUACAAUUCCAGACGAAGACCUUUGGGGGUUUGGCUGCAGUAUUGUCGGAUUCCAUCCAUACAAGGAUGCGCUUCUUCUCAAAUUUAGCGAGACGGUGGGGACAUAUCAUCUCCACACUUCUGGGAUGCAGUACCUAGGAGGUUACAUUUAUCCUGAGAAACAUCACCAACAAGCUAGAGACAUUGACCAUGCAUUCCCCUACCGUCCUUGCUACGUUGAUGCACUCCCGCCCAGAAAAAUGUCUCGUUCAUCUUAG